Molecule: long non-coding RNA, 517 nt
Organism: Argentina anserina (silverweed cinquefoil)
Lineage: Eukaryota; Viridiplantae; Streptophyta; Magnoliopsida; Rosales; Rosaceae
Exons: 2
Source: RefSeq, a predicted model, not a curated record
UUGUAGCCUCCGACCAAGAAACUUAGGUCCAGAAACCAACCACCCACCGCCCCAUAGAUCCUGACUGCCACAUCAAAUUCCUUACCGACUCAACGCCAUAACACAAACCACGGCGAUGGCGGAGCUGCUCGAUCUCGAUGAAGAUGGAGUCGGAGCUUCACAAUACAAAUCCAAUUUGUGGUUCUACUGAUGAGGAAGUAGAAGUCAAUUUGAAUUAUGUCUUGAAGAGGUGCAAUCAUACAUCUUAGUGGAAAAGGUCUCUCAAGGAUAACAAUGUAGUCUUGGCUCUGAGGCGCACAAGUUUGUUCGUGCAGAGGUAGGUAUGUGAAGAAUUGGGGAUGUUAGUUGAUAGAGAUGAUGAGAUUUUCACUAAGCUAGUUGGAGAUAGGUAUGUGAUAAUCUUCACUACAUUUCUGGGGGUUAGUAACAUCAGUAACAUGAUUAUUGGGGUCAAUAGCGUUUAUUGAGGGUAAGUAACAUGAUUAUUGAGAGUUAAUAGUUUUAUUAUUGUGAGUUA